AUUAUUAUAGCACUUUGAAAAUGAUUUGCACACCAUUGGAAAUAGUAAUUUAUUUUCAUUUCAAGUCAGGUGCUCUUGAAGAAUGUGGACGUUUUCACAUUUAGCAGAGAAAAUCCGAUCUUUUGCGGCUAACGGUACAACGAAUGAUUUGGCUUCAACAAUAAUGGCCGACGUUUUAUUAUUGUUUGUUCAGUCUAUUGUGAGGAAGUAAUCAAGUGGAAAAGCUAGGAGUUGUAUUAUUGCUCUGCCAUUGACAUGUCGGACCGGUGACCUGCCACAAUAAUGAUUAAGCCUGCUUCUUAUCGACAGAUCGGCUAAUAGAUUUCUCUUUCUAACACCCUGAAAUCUUUGUAUGAUUAAAGUAAAAUAGAACACAGUUACAUGUUAAAUUAAAGUAAUUAAUAUAUUCUUGAGAACGAUUUGUUAAUCGUUCACUCACACAUACAUAUGUACGUCUUAUUGUUUAUUUUCGUGUAAGUGGUAGUUUUGUAAGCUACAAUGGCUACUUCAUAAAUUAUUUACCAAAUGAAAAUUGUUAACAUUAAUAGCUUUAACUCAAGAGAAAUACAAGUCAAUUAAAAAGUUCAAGGACCAAGUUAAUUUUCAAUUUUUACUUCGACCAUUAUUAUUUUUUAUACUUACAUGAUCGCUGUAUACAUUAAUAUUCAUUGAGCUUAUUUAUUUUUCGACGUUGUAGUUAACACAAUAAUUUAUGUGGUUGUAGUUUUUUUCUAUUAAUUUAGCCAUCCGUUGCGUGUUAUUUUUGCCGGAAGAGACUUUUAAAAAUUAAAAUACCUAAUGUAAAUAAAUUUUCCUAUCACAUA
Molecule: long non-coding RNA, 824 nt
Organism: Bombyx mori (domestic silkworm)
Lineage: Eukaryota; Metazoa; Arthropoda; Insecta; Lepidoptera; Bombycidae
Exons: 2
Source: RefSeq, a predicted model, not a curated record